AUUGAACGCUGGCGGCAUGCUUUACACAUGCAAGUCGAACGGUAACAGGGAGCUUGCUCCGCUGACGAGUGGCGAACGGGUGAGUAAUGCAUCGGAACGUACCCAGCCGUGGGGGAUAACGUAGCGAAAGUUACGCUAAUACCGCAUACGUCCUGAGGGAGAAAGCGGGGGACCGUAAGGCCUCGCGCGAUUGGAGCGGCCGAUGUCGGAUUAGCUAGUUGGUGGGGUAAAGGCCUACCAAGGCGACGAUCCGUAGCGGGUCUGAGAGGAUGAUCCGCCACACUGGGACUGAGACACGGCCCAGACUCCUACGGGAGGCAGCAGUGGGGAAUUUUGGACAAUGGGGGCAACCCUGAUCCAGCCAUGCCGCGUGAGUGAAGAAGGCCUUCGGGUUGUAAAGCUCUUUCAGACGGAAAGAAAACGACA
This 426-nucleotide ribosomal RNA is filed under the name uncultured bacterium. Its description in RNAcentral is "bacterial SSU rRNA". It matches the Rfam family "Bacterial small subunit ribosomal RNA", at positions 29 to 456 of the family's 1533-position model. The record is from RNAcentral.